AACGAGGCCGACCUGCGGCUGAGUUACCUGCGGAAGGAUCAUUAACGCAUCUUCUGGCGGAGGCGGAUGGACCCAGCUCCGAACCCCAAAAGGGUUCGUGUCAGCGGGCUCGCUGUCGACGUCCAAACCUUUGCAAACCCAACUGUGCACCUUUGCGGCAGAGGGCUGGCAACGGCCCGAUGCCGCUUCACUAAACACUAGUCGAUGAAUGUUUGUGCGACGCUCUGCGUUGCCUAAUAA
This 240-nucleotide unclassified non-coding RNA is filed under the name soil metagenome. RNAcentral describes it as "partial contains 5.8S ribosomal RNA, internal transcribed spacer 2, and large subunit ribosomal RNA". The record is from RNAcentral.